This 682-nucleotide long non-coding RNA is filed under the name Pan troglodytes (chimpanzee). Its description in RNAcentral is "lincRNA". Lineage: Eukaryota; Metazoa; Chordata; Mammalia; Primates; Hominidae. The record is from RNAcentral.
GCCCGGGCUGCGCCGACCGCCGGCCCCGAGCCGCCGCGGGCUCCGAGGAGUCGGCCGAGCUGCUCCCGCGCCCUGGCCGGGGACUUACCAAUUUGGGAUUCUUCCAGGAGCUGAAAACUGAUUACAAAUAUGAAACAGAUUUCACUACAGGACUUGAACCCUACAUUAAAAAACAACAAGCUCCCCAAAAUAAUUGAAAAAGAUCUUCACCAAAGAGUAGCUGCAAUGUGAAUGGCAGGAUAUGAAGCAAGUAAGAGAUGGUGAAAAGAUUAUCUUAAGCUUGGAAUUAAGUGAUGAAAGGGACCUUCGAAAUUAUCAACUCUAAAUACUUCUUUACAGGAAAAUUGAAAGCAGUUAAGAACCUGCCCCCUACCGUGGAGUUCUUGGUGCCGUGAGUUGGAGUUCUUGGUGCCUGGGUGCGUCCCCAAGGCCACUGGUCUUCAGAUCUUUCUUACUUGAGAAGAACGCCUCCGCCUCCUGGCUCUCCCACCAGUGGUACUGCCACCACCACACACCAGCAUAAAGCACAGAUUGCUGCCCAGCUCCUUGGAGAGGGGCCAGUGCAUUUGUCAGGAAUUGAAAAGUUUUGGAGCCAGUUCGAGGACUUUCUGCUGCACAAAGUGUUGGCUGGAAGCAUGAUUAUCUCACACAGAGCGUUGGAAUUACUUCGUGAUGAUUUCAA